CCCUCCAAGGUAUUUUAUUAAUAUGUCAAAAACUAUCUUCAUACAAUAUACUAGAUAAUGCAUAUACAGCAUGAUCCUCAACCCUAAUUAAGGCAUUAAAUCAAAUACAAAAUCAUGCUUAAAAUAGAACCCAAUAAUAAAAAAUACAUGCUAGAAUCAUUCCAAUAGCAAAUGUAAAAACAACUAAAAUUUGAUAUUAUCUCUAAUAAAAAACUUAUAGACA
RNAcentral lists this long non-coding RNA (223 nucleotides) under Elaeis guineensis (African oil palm). Its description in RNAcentral is "long non-coding RNA (EGUI_LNC076551)". Lineage: Eukaryota; Viridiplantae; Streptophyta; Magnoliopsida; Arecales; Arecaceae. The record is from RNAcentral.